AUGGGGUGCAGCAGGCGAGAAAACUUUGCAAUGUGCGAAAGCACGACAAGGUUAAUCCGAGUGAUUUCUGCUAAAGGAAUCUUUUGUCAGUCCUAGAAACACUGUUGAAUAAGGGGUGGGCAAGUUCUGGUGUCAGCCGCCGCGGUAAAACCAGCACCUCAAGUGGUCAGGAUGAUUAUUGGGCCUAAAGCAUCCGUAGCCUGCUUUGUCAGUUCUCGGUUAAAUCCAUACGCUCAACGUAUGGGCCGCCGGAAAUACUGCAAAGCUAGGGAGUGGGAGAGGUAGACGGUACUCGGGAGGAAGGGGUAAAAUCCUUUGAUCUCUCGAUGACCACCUGUGGCGAAGGCGGUCUACCAGAACACGUCCGACGGUGAGGGAUGAAAGCUGGGGGAGCAAACCGGAUUAGAUACCCGGGUAGUCCCAGCUGUAAACUAUGCAAACUCAGUGAUGCAUUGGCUUGAUGCCAAUGCAGUGUUGCAGGGAAGCCGUUAAGUUUGCCGCCUGGGAAGUACGUACGCAAGUAUGAAACUUAAAGGAAUUGGCGGGGGAGCAC
This 553-nucleotide ribosomal RNA is filed under the name uncultured crenarchaeote. RNAcentral's name for it is "bacterial SSU rRNA". It matches the Rfam family "Archaeal small subunit ribosomal RNA", at positions 325 to 879 of the family's 1478-position model. Lineage: Archaea; Thermoproteati; Thermoproteota. The record is from RNAcentral.